AGUCAAAUGAAUUAAGGGCUUACGGUGGAUACCUAGGCACCCAGAGACGAAGAAGGGCGUACUAACCGACGAAACGCUUCGGGGAGCUGAAAAGAAGCAUUGAUCCGGAGAUUCCCGAAUAGGGCAACCUCUUGAACUUCCUGCUGAAUUCAUAGGCAGGAUAGAGACAACCUGGCGAACUGAAACAUCUUAGUAGCCAGAGGAAA
Molecule: ribosomal RNA, 206 nt
Filed under: Chlorokybus atmophyticus
Lineage: Eukaryota; Viridiplantae; Streptophyta; Chlorokybophyceae; Chlorokybales; Chlorokybaceae
Description: partial 23S ribosomal RNA
Rfam family: Bacterial large subunit ribosomal RNA
Source: RNAcentral